CAGUAGCCGCGGUAAUACAGAGGGUGCGAGCGUUAAUCGGAUUUACUGGGCGUAAAGCGUGCGUAGGCGGCUUCUUAAGUCGGAUGUGAAAUCCCUGAGCUUAACUUAGGAAUUGCAUUCGAUACUGGGAAGCUGGAGUAUGGGAGAGGAUGGUAGAAUUCCAGGUGUAGCGGUGAAAUGCGUAGAGAUCUGGAGGAAUACCGAUGGCGAAGGCAGCCAUCUGGCCUAAUACUGACGCUGAGGUACGAAAGCAUGGGGAGCAAACAGGAUUAGAUACCCGAGUAGUCCCUGUCUCUUAUAC
RNAcentral lists this ribosomal RNA (301 nucleotides) under uncultured bacterium. RNAcentral describes it as "partial 16S ribosomal RNA". It matches the Rfam family "Bacterial small subunit ribosomal RNA", at positions 509 to 807 of the family's 1533-position model. The record is from RNAcentral.